This 253-nucleotide ribosomal RNA is filed under the name uncultured bacterium. RNAcentral describes it as "partial 16S ribosomal RNA". It matches the Rfam family "Bacterial small subunit ribosomal RNA", at positions 524 to 776 of the family's 1533-position model. The record is from RNAcentral.
UACGGGGGGGGCAAGCGUUGUUCGGAAUUACUGGGCGUAAAGGGCUCGUAGGUGGCCAACUAAGUCGGACGUGAAAUCCCCGGGCUUAACCUGGGAACUGCAUUUGUGACUGCAUCGCUGGAGUGCGGCAGAGGGGGAUGGAAUUCCGCGUGUAGCAGUGAAAUGCGUAGAUAUGCGGAGGAACACCGAUGGCGAAGGCAAUCCCCUGGGCCUGCACUGACGCUCAUGCACGAAAGCGUGGGGAGCAAACAGG